Molecule: unclassified non-coding RNA, 228 nt
Filed under: plant metagenome
Description: partial contains small subunit ribosomal RNA and internal transcribed spacer 1
Rfam family: Eukaryotic small subunit ribosomal RNA (bases 1-46)
Source: RNAcentral
AAGUCGAAACAAGGUUUCCGUAGGUGAACCUGCGGAAGGAUCAUUAAAAGAGAUAGGGUCUCACGGCCCGACCUCCAACCCUUUGUUGUUUAAAAAACCUGUUGCUUUGGCGGGACCGUUCGACCUCGUGACGGACUGUCGGUCUUCGGCCCGGCAAGCGCCCGUCAGAGUCCAACCAAACUCUUGAUAUAACCAGUCGUCUGAGAAUAAAGAUUUAAUCAAUUAAAA